Long non-coding RNA from Sebastes umbrosus (honeycomb rockfish), 912 nucleotides. RefSeq lists it as uncharacterized. NCBI's taxonomy places the organism in Eukaryota, Metazoa, Chordata, Actinopteri, Perciformes, Sebastidae. The transcript has 4 exons. The record is from RefSeq and is a predicted model, not a curated record.
UUAUGCUCAUAGGCCGUUUUUUAACUGAACUAUAAUGUAUUCUUAAAAAACAGCACUUUACUGCUGAUCAACUGUCUAAAGUAUCAUGAAUAACAGUUUGAUGCAGUAUUUUUUGAAUUCUGGGAAGAGCAAUUUCACCUGAUCUGCACAUGUGAGGCUGGAUCCGUUCUUUUCUUCAUCCAUUCCCAUCUUACUGAUUAUUUGGUGAAACAGCAGGAAGCUAUUGGCGCUGGAUGGUCAGCCUUGAGGGCCACUUCAUAUGUGAGGGGAUCCAGCCCACCUUCUUGAUGGGGCUUGCUGCAUUAUUUUCCACCUUCUACACCUGCACGCUCAAAUUAAUCUCAAGGUGCACCGUAGGAAUAAACCCUGAGAGAGGCACCAAGGAUGGACAGGGCAAAGUCUUCUCAAAGAAAACUGGCAAAUUCACGAGCUACAAGACAAGACUACAACCGUAUAUCCACAUGUAUCCACUCUGCUGAUGGGACUCAUGGACUUGAGUGGGACUUCAUUUAAAAUGUCAGCGGGCUACCAAGGCUGGAUUGAGAGAACUGGUGUCUUUGAGUGGGCCAUAAGUCAUUCACUAACUCACUCCCCCAUUAUCGCUCAAUACUUGGACUUCCACACUUAUCCAUGUGCCUUGUUAGAGACUGAAUAUUCAUACUUGGACAUGAUGUCACAUGUCUGGUGGUGUUGGUGCUCAUUAUGAUAUAAGGCAAAAUAUUAUUUGAGAGUUUUGUUUUAACUCUAUGAUAUAGCUCAACUGUCUGUAACUGUUCCACAAAGUAAGGUUAGUAAGAUUGACAGAUGUCUUCAGAAAUGCUAUUUCUUCUGAAAUUUGGUUUGUUAUCUGUGUCAGGUUUUUGUUGGCGCUGUGUUGAACUUCAUAUGAAAAUAAAAAGUAAAGUGCAAUAA